UUGAACGCUGGCGGCAGGCCUAACACCUGCCAGUCGCACGGUAACAGGAAGCAGCUUGCUGCUUUGCUGACGAGUGGCGGACGGGUGAGUAAUGUCUGGGAAACUGCCCGAUGGAGGGGGAUAACUACUGGAAACGGUAGCUAAUACCGCAUAACGUCGCAAGACCCAAGAGGGGGACCUUAGGGCCUCUUGCCAUCGGAUGUGCCCAGAUGGGAUUAGCUAGUAGGUGGGGUAACGGCUCACCUAGGCGACGAUCCCUAGCUGGUCUGAGAGGAUGACCAGCCACACUGGAACUGAGACACGGUCCAGACUCCUACGGGAGGCAGCAGUGGGGAAUAUUGCACAAUGGGCGCAAGCCUGAUGCAGCCAUGCCGCGUGUAUGAAGAAGGCCUUCGGGUUGUAAAGUACUUUCAGCGGGGAGGAAGGGAGUAAAGUUAAUACCUUUGCUCAUUGACGUUACCCGCAGAAGAAGCACCGGCUAACUCCGUG
This 489-nucleotide ribosomal RNA is filed under the name uncultured bacterium. RNAcentral describes it as "partial 16S ribosomal RNA". It matches the Rfam family "Bacterial small subunit ribosomal RNA", at positions 30 to 507 of the family's 1533-position model. The record is from RNAcentral.